GCCUGGGUGGCUCAGUCGGUUGAGUGUCCGAUUUCGGCUCAGGUCAUGACCUCACAGCUCGUGAGUUCGAGCCCCACUUCGGGCU
Felis catus (domestic cat) is the source of this 85-nucleotide transfer RNA. It matches the Rfam family "tRNA". Rfam says of the family: Transfer RNA (tRNA) molecules are approximately 80 nucleotides in length. Their secondary structure includes four short double-helical elements and three loops (D, anti-codon, and T loops). NCBI's taxonomy places the organism in Eukaryota, Metazoa, Chordata, Mammalia, Carnivora, Felidae. The record is from Rfam.